UACGUAGGGUGCGAGCGUUGUCCGGAAUUAUUGGGCGUAAAGAGCUUGUAGGCGGUCUGUCGCGUCUGCUGUGAAAAUCCGGGGCUCAACCCUGGGAUGCCGGUCGAUACUGCCGGACUAGAGUUCGGAAGAGGCGAGUGGAAUUCCCGGUGUAGCGGUGAAAUGCGCAGAUAUCGGGAGGAACACCUAUGGCGAAGGCAGCUCGCUGGGACGUUACUGACGCUGAGACGCGAAAGCGUGGGGAGCAAACAGG
This 253-nucleotide ribosomal RNA is filed under the name uncultured bacterium. RNAcentral describes it as "partial 16S ribosomal RNA". It matches the Rfam family "Bacterial small subunit ribosomal RNA", at positions 524 to 776 of the family's 1533-position model. The record is from RNAcentral.